UACGUAGGGUGCAAGCGUUGUCCGGAUUUACUGGGUUUAAAGGGUGCGUAGGCGGGCAGAUAAGUCUGGGAUGAAAUAGCGGGGCUCAACCCUGUUGCUGUCUUGGAUACUGUUUGUCUGGAGUGAGGUUGAGGUAGCUGGAAUGAGUGGUGUAGCGGUGAAAUGCGUAGAGAUCACUCGGAACACCGAUUGCGAAGGCAGGCUACUGGACCUUUACUGACGCUGAGGCACGAAAGUGUGGGGAUCAAACAGG
Molecule: ribosomal RNA, 253 nt
Filed under: bacterium
Lineage: Bacteria
Also listed under: 1 other name
Description: partial 16S ribosomal RNA
Rfam family: Bacterial small subunit ribosomal RNA
Source: RNAcentral